RNAcentral lists this ribosomal RNA (433 nucleotides) under uncultured bacterium. RNAcentral describes it as "partial 16S ribosomal RNA". It matches the Rfam family "Bacterial small subunit ribosomal RNA", at positions 29 to 507 of the family's 1533-position model. The record is from RNAcentral.
AACGAACGCUGGCGGCAUGCCUAACACAUGCAAGUCGAACGAUCCCUUCGGGGAUAGUGGCGCACGGGUGCGUAACGCGUGGGAACCUGCACUUAGGUUCGGCAUACCUCAGAGAAAUUUGAGCUAAUACCGGAUAAUGUCUUCGGACCAAAGAUUUAUCGCGUUUGGAUGGGCCCGCGUUGGAUUCGCUCGUUGGUGGGGUAAUGGCCUACCAAGGCGACGAUCAAUAGCUGGUCGGAGAGGCUGAUCAGCAACACUGGGACUGAGACACGGCCCAGACUCCUACGCGAGGCAGCAGUGGGUAAUAUUGGACAGUGGGCGAAGUCCUGAUCCAGCAAUGCCGCGUGAGUGAUGAAGGCCUUAGGGUUGUAAAGCUCUUUUACCCGGGAUGAUAAUGACAGUACCGGGAGAAUAAGCCCCGGCUAACUCCGUG